GAUCCGUAACUUCGGGAAAAGGAUUGGCUCUGAGGGCUGGGCCUAGGGGUCUGCAGCUGUGAAGCUCGGGACUGUGGUGGUCUACCCAACUGGAAACGGCUGGGCGGACUGCUGCGUGUCCUGGGUGGACGGCUGUAGAAGCUUCGCGGCGUUCCCUAGGCGACGAACAGCCAACUCAGAACUGGUAC
This 188-nucleotide non-coding RNA is filed under the name Volvox carteri f. nagariensis. RNAcentral's name for it is "Eukaryotic large subunit ribosomal RNA". It matches the Rfam family "Eukaryotic large subunit ribosomal RNA", at positions 1925 to 2120 of the family's 3401-position model. Lineage: Eukaryota; Viridiplantae; Chlorophyta; Chlorophyceae; Chlamydomonadales; Volvocaceae. The record is from Rfam by way of RNAcentral.